ACCUAGGGUAGAGGUGCUGUAAUUAAGAGUAUUUGAUUUUAGCUGGCAGGUGUUAUUAAAUUCAAAGAAAGGAAUUACAGCCGAAGGAGAUAAUUUGGCGGGAUUAUCUUUUGGACUUGUAUAGAAUAUAUUCAGGUCUGUCACUAGAUUUAAAUUAUUUUUAGUGGAGAGCUACAAAGGUA
Clostridium tyrobutyricum DIVETGP is the source of this 182-nucleotide regulatory RNA element. It matches the Rfam family "Lysine riboswitch aptamer". Rfam says of the family: Riboswitches are metabolite binding domains within certain messenger RNAs that serve as precision sensors for their corresponding targets. Lineage: Bacteria; Bacillati; Bacillota; Clostridia; Eubacteriales; Clostridiaceae. The record is from Rfam.